RNAcentral lists this long non-coding RNA (874 nucleotides) under Trifolium pratense (red clover). RNAcentral's name for it is "long non-coding RNA (TPRA_LNC008497)". The record is from RNAcentral. Lineage: Eukaryota; Viridiplantae; Streptophyta; Magnoliopsida; Fabales; Fabaceae.
UUAGAGAUAGAUUAGCUUACAAUUAUGAGCGAUCGAAACAAAUUGAAAACAUGUUAGUUACAGUGUACAAUGUCCAUUUUUACAUAGCUUUCAAGCCACACUCCUCACCCUACUUUAAAAAGGAUGUGUGUCCAUGGGUUCAUUAAACGAUUAAGAGAAUAUUUAUUUAGAUUUGUGGUUGGUUUAAUUGUACUAUUUUACUGAGGUUUCAAGAUUAACACUUACUAUUAAGCAACAACAAAAGGUAAGUGAAGUAAUAGACAAUUUUUUUGCAAGGAAUGAGUUGAAUGAUCAUAUAUUAUUCUUAUCGUGGUGGUGAAGUUAUAUUUGGUGAUUAGGGAUAACAAAUAUCAGUAUCGUAAGAGCGAUAGUUCUGGUAGACGAACUUUUGGGGAACAGUGCAGAAUCGUAGAUUAGAUCCUAGGACAUAAAGAUAAUUAACAUUUCCUUAGAGUAAAUUUGAUUCUACGGUGGUUGAUUUCAAUCUGAAAAUUUUCAAAGAUGGUAAAAUGUGCUUUCAAUGUGGUCGAGUAGUACAUAACAAGAGGGAUUGCCCUUGGCAGUUGCGAUACAACUAUUAUCUAGUCAUGAAUUGGUCGUUCUUCCAUCAUUUCACCCAAGUCUAUUAUAACAAGGUAGUGAGAUCCAUUUUACAUAUUGUUGCCAUGUUAGUCAACUUGUGCUAAAAAUAAAAUAAAAUAAUAAUAAGCAGGGUUGGAAUUGCUAGAGAAACUAUCAUAACGUUGGUUGAGUUUAACUAUGCUAGUGAGAGAUUGUGAGGGAUGAAUAUAAUUGCCGCUAUAGGCUGUAGCCAUUUUGCUUAUAGAAAACCAACUAAAAUAUAAGUCUGAUCUUGAAACCAGUUGCAACUUAC